This 78-nucleotide non-coding RNA is filed under the name Pseudomonas indica. Lineage: Bacteria; Pseudomonadati; Pseudomonadota; Gammaproteobacteria; Pseudomonadales; Pseudomonadaceae. The record is from RNAcentral.
UUGAGCCGUAAGCGCUGAAAAGCGCACGUACGGUUCUUAGGGGGGGAGUCGGUCAGUAAUGACCGGCCCCUACCCGAC